RNAcentral lists this transfer RNA (68 nucleotides) under pig gut metagenome. It matches the Rfam family "tRNA", at positions 5 to 66 of the family's 71-position model. Rfam says of the family: Transfer RNA (tRNA) molecules are approximately 80 nucleotides in length. Their secondary structure includes four short double-helical elements and three loops (D, anti-codon, and T loops). The record is from RNAcentral.
GGAUGUAGCUCAGUUGGCUAGAGCGCCAGAUUGUGGCUCUGGAGGCCGUGGGUUCGAGUCCCACCUUU